GAGGGAAUAUUAGUUAAUGUGCGAAAGCGCGAACUAGCAACGCCGUGUGUGCGAUGAAGGCCUUCGGGUCGUAAAGCACUUUUCUAAGGGAUGAGGAAGGACAGUACCUUAGGAAUAAGCAUCGGCUAACUACGUGCCAGCAGCCGCGGUAAAACGUAGGAUGCAAGCGUUAUCCGGAUUUACUGGGCGUAAAGCGCGUGUAGGCGGUUUGGUAAGUUGGAUGUGAAAGCUCCUGGCUUAACUGGGAGAG
This 250-nucleotide ribosomal RNA is filed under the name uncultured bacterium. Its description in RNAcentral is "partial 16S ribosomal RNA". It matches the Rfam family "Bacterial small subunit ribosomal RNA", at positions 355 to 621 of the family's 1533-position model. The record is from RNAcentral.